Long non-coding RNA from Sapajus apella (tufted capuchin), 87 nucleotides. RefSeq lists it as uncharacterized. The record is from RefSeq and is a predicted model, not a curated record. The transcript has 3 exons. NCBI's taxonomy places the organism in Eukaryota, Metazoa, Chordata, Mammalia, Primates, Cebidae.
UACAAAUUUAAGGGGUACAAGUGCGAUUUUGUUAUAUGGAUAGAUUGCAUAAUGGGAAAGUCUGGGCUUUUAGUGUUCCCAUCCCCA